CAGUAGCCGCGGGAAUACGUAGGGUGCAAGCGUUAUCCGGAAUUAUUGGGCGUAAAGAGCUCGUAGGCGGUUUGUCGCGUCUGCUGUGAAAACUGGAGGCUCAACCUCCAGCCUGCAGUGGGUACGGGCAGACUAGAGUGCGGUAGGGGAGAUUGGAAUUCCUGGUGUAGCGGUGGAAUGCGCAGAUAUCAGGAGGAACACCGAUGGCGAAGGCAGAUCUCUGGGCCGUAACUGACGCUGAGGAGCGAAAGCGUGGGGAGCGAACAGGAUUAGAUACCCGGGUAGUCCCUGUCUCUUAUAC
Molecule: ribosomal RNA, 301 nt
Filed under: uncultured bacterium
Lineage: Bacteria
Description: partial 16S ribosomal RNA
Rfam family: Bacterial small subunit ribosomal RNA
Source: RNAcentral